UACGUAGGGUGCAAGCGUUAAUCGGAAUUACUGGGCGUAAAGCGUGCGCAGGCGGUUAUGCAAGACAGAUGGGAAAUCCCCGGGCUCAGCCUGGGAACUGCAUUUGUGACUGCAUGGCUAGAGUACGGUAGAGGGGGAUGGAAUUCCGCGUGUAGCAGUGAAAUGCGUAGAUAUGCGGAGGAACACCGAUGGCGAAGGCAAUCCCCUGGACCUGUACUGACGCUCAUGCACGAAAGCGUGGGGAGCAAACAGG
RNAcentral lists this ribosomal RNA (253 nucleotides) under uncultured bacterium. RNAcentral describes it as "partial 16S ribosomal RNA". It matches the Rfam family "Bacterial small subunit ribosomal RNA", at positions 524 to 776 of the family's 1533-position model. The record is from RNAcentral.